AACGAACGCUGGCGGCAGGCUUAACACAUGCAAGUCGAACGGAGCCUGCGGGAUUAGUGGCAGACGGGGGAGUAACGCGUGGGAACGUACCCUUGGCUACGGAAGAACUCAGGGAAACUUGAGCUAAUACCGUAUGUGCCCUACGGGGGAAAGAUUUAUCGGCAAAGGAGCGGCCCGCGUUGGAUUAGCUAGUUGGGGGGGUAAUGGCCUACCAAGGCGACGAUCCAUAGCUGGUCUGAGAGGAUGAUCAGCCACACUGGGACUGAGACACGGCCCAGACUCCUACGGGAGGCCGCAGUGGGGCAUAUUGGACAAUGGGCGCAAGCCUGAUCCAGCCAUGCCGCGUGAGUGAUGAAGGUCUUAGGCUUGUAAAGCUCUUUCACCGGUGAAGCUAAUGACGGUAGCCGGAGAAGAAGCCCCGGCUAACUUCGUG
RNAcentral lists this ribosomal RNA (433 nucleotides) under uncultured bacterium. RNAcentral describes it as "partial 16S ribosomal RNA". It matches the Rfam family "Bacterial small subunit ribosomal RNA", at positions 29 to 507 of the family's 1533-position model. The record is from RNAcentral.